CCUACGGGUGGCAGCAGUGAGGAAUAUUGGUCAAUGGGCGAUAGGCUGAACCAGCCAAGUCGCGUGAAGGAAGAAUGUCCUAUGGAUUGUAAACCUCUUUUGUCAGGGAGCAAAGUCACCCACGUGUGGGGGUUGGAGAGUACCUGAAGAAAAAGCAUCGGCUAACUCCGUGCCAGCAGCCGCGGUAAUACGGAGGAUGCGAGCGUUAUCCGGAUUUCUUGGGUUUAAAGGGUGCGUAGGCGGGUUAUCAAGUCAGCGGUAAAAUCGUGGAGCUCAACUUCAUCCAGCCGUUGAUACUGAUGAUCUUGAGUGGGCGAGAAGUAUGCGGAAUGCGGGGUGUAGCGGUGAAAUGCAUAGAUAUCACGCAGAACUCCGAUUGAGAAGGCAGCAUACCGGAGCCCGACUGACGCUGAAGCACGAAAGAGUGGGUAUCGAACAGGAUUAGAUACCCUUGUAGUC
RNAcentral lists this ribosomal RNA (459 nucleotides) under uncultured bacterium. RNAcentral describes it as "partial 16S ribosomal RNA". It matches the Rfam family "Bacterial small subunit ribosomal RNA", at positions 338 to 795 of the family's 1533-position model. The record is from RNAcentral.